This 253-nucleotide ribosomal RNA is filed under the name uncultured bacterium. Its description in RNAcentral is "partial 16S ribosomal RNA". It matches the Rfam family "Bacterial small subunit ribosomal RNA", at positions 524 to 776 of the family's 1533-position model. The record is from RNAcentral.
UACAGAGGGGGCAAGCGUUGUUCGGAAUUACUGGGCGUAAAGGGCGCGUAGGCGGCCGCCUAAGUCAGACGUGAAAUCCCUCGGCUCAACCGGGGAACUGCGUCUGAUACUGGGUGGCUUGAAUCCGGGAGAGGGAUGCGGAAUUCCAGGUGUAGCGGUGAAAUGCGUAGAUAUCUGGAGGAACACCGGUGGCGAAGGCGGCAUCCUGGACCGGUAUUGACGCUGAGGCGCGAAAACCAGGGGAGCAAACGGG